Amphiprion ocellaris (clown anemonefish) is the source of this 1234-nucleotide long non-coding RNA. The record is from Ensembl. NCBI's taxonomy places the organism in Eukaryota, Metazoa, Chordata, Actinopteri, Pomacentridae.
UGUACAUAUUGUGAAUUCCUAAGGCCAGUAACCUCCUAAAUCAAUCAAAUAAAUUAAUUAACUAUCAGAGAAUUACUGGACCAGCUCUCCAUCUAACGGGUCCGGUUCCCGUAGCCCAUAUGGGUCAACCCAGAUGAGAUCUGAGGAACGUUUUUAAGCUGGUAAGCGAGAAAAUUCGCCUAGCUUCUAACUGCCUCCAUCCAGACGCCUAUCCUGCUUCCUCUGAUAACUAACUCAACUGAGUAGCCACUUUCGAAUGGUCAAAUUAAUUACCAGUCACGUCUGUUAACGGCAGCUUUUCUCUCAUCGGAUUCUGCACUUGGUAAGUUGCUAGGUUUAAGUUUAGAGGUUAAGGCAUGGAUAACCCCAAGGAUAAGUUUAAAAAAGGCCACCCUCGGCCCCAACGACUAGGUAAUCUGACAGAACCAGUUUUAGAUGUAAUGCACACAAUAACCUGACUUUUUACAAACUGAGAAGAUAUACGUGAUUAAUUCAUUAUCAUGAUAAAAAUAAAUAGAAUUUCCAAUCUGUUAACUUUAAUUGCAGGAUAAAUGUUUUAUUAUAAUUUCAGCAAGGGCGUAGCAUAAGCUCCUAAAUCACAACACUCAAUCAAACAUUAAUAUUCUUCCAAUUGCUUAACAUGACUCAUAAGUGGAACUAUGCUUUCAUAUAAGAGAAGUAAUAAUCACCCAAACUGUGUAAUUUGGAGGGGGAGAGCAGACGGUGUGGCCUCACCUGCUGCUCACCUGAAGACCGAUGCCCCGCUGGGGCUCUGCUCCAGGGAGGAGGUGGAGGGGGUUCGGUCCAGAUUUACAUCUGCUUGUAUCCAUUUUUGUUCUUUGGGCCAGUAAAAACUUUGUUAAUCCAUUCUGGUGUUAAUCCUUUUGGAAAUAAUAGAGUUCAGUAAUGUUCCUUCAGUCAGCGUUAUUUUUAGAUCACAGUCUUUCGUAAUCCUCAAACAGUGCAGAAAGAGCACUCCUUCAGUCCAUAAUUCCAGUAGAACAGAUAUUCCUUUGCAGAUCAUGUUGAAUCCCCCGUCCGAGUUACGUGGUAAAAUCCCCUUUGCUCAGAGCAUUUCUACCCUGGCUUGCAACGAGUGACCACCUCGCAACGACUCCCCACUCGUGUCUCGAUCCAGUGCAAUUUAUACAACAACUGAACCUUUUGCAUAUGCAAGAACUGCACCCUUAACUAACAUACGUGAUGACAGCAUUCAUCCCCCUCCUUACUCGUG